UACGGAGGGUGCAAGCGUUGCUCGGAAUUAUUGGGCGUAAAGGGUAGGUAGGUGGUCUCAUUUGUCUGAGGUGAAAGCCUUGAGCUUAACUCAAGAAGUGCCUUAGAAACGGUGAGACUGGAGUCUUGGAGAGGGUCGUGGAAUUCCCGGUGUAGCGGUGAAAUGCGUAGAGAUCCGGAGGAACACCAGCGGCGAAGGCGGCAUCCUGGACUGGUCCUGACACUCAUGAGCGAAAGCGUGGGGAGCGAUCCGG
This 253-nucleotide ribosomal RNA is filed under the name uncultured bacterium. Its description in RNAcentral is "partial 16S ribosomal RNA". It matches the Rfam family "Bacterial small subunit ribosomal RNA", at positions 524 to 776 of the family's 1533-position model. The record is from RNAcentral.